CUGCGUGACGAAGCGCGCGGUAAAGUGGACAAUAAGGGCUGAGCUUCGAGUUAGUCGCCAGACGCCGGUUUAGCCGGCGUUUUUUA
Molecule: small RNA, 86 nt
Filed under: Enterobacter sp. BIGb0383
Lineage: Bacteria; Pseudomonadati; Pseudomonadota; Gammaproteobacteria; Enterobacterales; Enterobacteriaceae
Also listed under: 1 other name
Description: sroD RNA
Rfam family: sroD RNA
About the family: This family consists of a number of bacterial sroD RNA genes of around 90 bases in length. sroD is found in several Enterobacterial species but its function is unknown.
Source: RNAcentral